Molecule: ribosomal RNA, 58 nt
Filed under: Allophoma tropica
Lineage: Eukaryota; Fungi; Ascomycota; Dothideomycetes; Pleosporales; Didymellaceae
Description: partial 28S ribosomal RNA
Source: RNAcentral
UCUUGACCUCGGAUCAGGUAGGGAUACCCGCUGAACUUAAGCAUAUCAAUAAGCGGAG